This 547-nucleotide ribosomal RNA is filed under the name uncultured bacterium. Its description in RNAcentral is "bacterial SSU rRNA". It matches the Rfam family "Bacterial small subunit ribosomal RNA", at positions 355 to 896 of the family's 1533-position model. The record is from RNAcentral.
UGGGGAAUAUUGCGCAAUGGGGGGAACCCUGACGCAGCCAUGCCGCGUGAAUGAAGAAGGCCUUAGGGUUGUAAAGUUCUUUCGGUAUUGAGGAAGGUUGAUGUGUUAAUAGCACAUCAAAUUGACGUUAAAUACAGAAGAAGCACCGGCUAACUCCGUGCCAGCAGCCGCGGUAAUACGGAGGGUGCGAGCGUUAAUCGGAAUAACUGGGCGUAAAGGGCACGCAGGCGGUUAUUUAAGUGAGGUGUGAAAGCCCCGGGCUUAACCUGGGAAUUGCAUUUCAGACUGGGUAACUAGAGUACUUUAGGGAGGGGUAGAAUUCCACGUGUAGUGGUGAAAUGCGUAGAGAUGUGGAGGAAUACCGAAGGCGAAGGCAGCCCCUUGGGAAUGUACUGACGCUCAUGUGCGAAAGCGUGGGGAGCAAACAGGAUUAGAUACCCUGGUAGUCCACGCUGUAAACGCUGUCGAUUUGGGGGUUGGGGUUUAACUCUGGCGCCCGUAGCUAACGUGAUAAAUCGACCGCCUGGGGAGUACGGCCGCAAGGUUA